RNAcentral lists this ribosomal RNA (484 nucleotides) under uncultured bacterium. Its description in RNAcentral is "partial 16S ribosomal RNA". It matches the Rfam family "Bacterial small subunit ribosomal RNA", at positions 30 to 507 of the family's 1533-position model. The record is from RNAcentral.
AUUGAACGCUGGCGGCAGGCCUAACACAUGCAAGUCGAGCGGAUGAAGGGAGCUUGCUCCUGGAUUCAGCGGCGGACGGGUGAGUAAUGCCUAGGAAUCUGCCUGGUAGUGGGGGAUAACGUCCGGAAACGGGCGCUAAUACCGCAUACGUCCUGAGGGAGAAAGUGGGGGAUCUUCGGACCUCACGCUAUCAGAUGAGCCUAGGUCGGAUUAGCUAGUUGGUGGGGUAAAGGCCUACCAAGGCGACGAUCCGUGACUGGUCUCAGAGGAUGAUCAGUCACACUGGAACUGGGACACGGUCCAGACUACUACGGGAGGCAGCAGUGGGGAAUAUUGGACGAUGGGCGAGAGCCUGAUCCAGCCAUGCCGCGUGUGUGAAGAAGGUCUUCGGAUGGUAAAGCACUUUAAGUUGGGAGGAAGGGCAGUAAGUUAAUACCUUGCUGUUUUGACGUUACCGACAGAAUAAGCACCGGCUAACUUCGUG